ACCAACGACUGCACCACGUUGAAUACACCAGUUCUCGUCGGAUCACUGAAGUUAAGCGAUGUCAGGCGUGGUCAGCACUCGGAUGGGUGACCGUCUGGGAGAUCACGUGUUGUUGGUU
This 118-nucleotide ribosomal RNA is filed under the name Olea europaea subsp. europaea. Lineage: Eukaryota; Viridiplantae; Streptophyta; Magnoliopsida; Lamiales; Oleaceae. The record is from RNAcentral.